CUCGUGGAAGCCCAGGUACGCGCGGUGGGCAAAGAUCUGGUCGUAAGCCGGCGGGUGCGGGGUGACCACCGGAAUGGCAGCGGCGGCCAGAGGGGCGAGAUAGUCAGGAUUCCAGCACAGACACCAUACAUGCCAUCUCUAGCACCGUUAGCCUCUGCCUAAGCUAAGCUAAACGAACAGAUGCAACGUUCUGUCAGCACAGCUGCGUCUAUAGCACUGGUCUUGCCGGCCUUGUUGUGGCAGCAUUACCCAGAACUAUCGCACCAGUGAUGGAAAGCAACGCCUCUGUCCUACCAAACUGCUGAGCCUACCAAAAGACAGGGAAGGAGACCAAACAGCCACACCACUGCCUCCCGAGCCAGCCAUGGUCAUGCCUUCCCCAGUCCCUUUCACAGCCUCAGAGGACAUCAAGGCUGUCUAACAGCCAGGAUUCGCUGCUUUUUGUCUUUCAUUCCUUGCCAGGUGUGGCCAGCUCUAUGCUCACCGCAUGUGAACAGCCAGCCAUGCUGCCAGAGUCAUGCUCAGCAGGAUCAGUAUUGGAGGUAAUAGUAGCCUCAGGCCAGACUGCUUCAUUAUGAGAGAGAUUUUGACAGCCCAGCAGCAAGAGCAACAGCAGGGAGGGCUCAGGUGGGUAUUCAGGGGAGGAGGGUUGGGAAGGAAGACACUGGAAAGGGCUUUGCCUCUCAGAAAAUACUUUCUCAGGAACUGCUGGGCUGUACCCUUUUUAAUCCCGCUGAUACAGAACGCUGCCUUUUACACAAAUGUAUUAGAGUGAAAAAGGAGCACCAUGGAACUCAGAGUUUUUUCUGCCUUUCUUGGAAGUAGGGUCACGGUAUUAUGAGCUUACACAACAAACCAUGAGCUUACACAACAAACCAGAGCUGUAAAUUGCAUACGUCCCUAUCUAAUCCAAGCAUUUUGUCUGCUUCCAAGAGAACAGCCUGGGACAGUCAAUGGUGGUUUAAGGAACUCUCUUCUCAUCAAACUGUUUUCACAAAAUGCCUCUUCCAAACCACCUUCCCUACAAGUGCCCUGUGUAGCUAUGUGACCAGUCUAAGUAGAUCACAGUACUCAAAAAAACUAAGAAAUAAAUGUCUGUUGGGGAGAAGUGAAGGAAGUUUCAUCUGGGAGGCAAGGACUCUAAUUCUAAACUAGCUGCUCCCUUCUUCUAAAUAAUUAAUAACUUCCCAUGCAGGGAGCACAUGUGUUCUCUCUCUGACUGGUAUAGCAGUUGUGCGGUGCUGUAACCAGUCACCUGGCCGGGAGCUCGGUGACCUUUGUAUGCUGCUACACAUGCUGCACAGCAAGAAUCACCCUGCGACUGCACUGGGAGGCUGGCUGUGCCCCCAGGGACCAUUUCCCUUUGUGAUGUGCUGCCAGAGGAAUAUGGCACUGGAAAACCUAUCAAAUGAUAAAGGACUGAUUCAUCCCUCUUCCCUACUGGUUGAAGUUCAGGUACGUCGUGGUAUCUGAGAUCAGAAUCAGCCUUGAGAUCUCCACAACAAGAAGUUUAAAUUAAAAAGGCACUAUCCUAUUUCCAUUAAAAUCAAUGGCAAACUUUUACUGACUUCACACUUCAGUGUUUUAGCCCCCCAUAAUACAGCAAGAGGUUGCCCUUCUCUACAAAGGUUUUGGAAAACAACAAGUUUAGCUACACUCGGUUGAUGCCUCCGUGUUGUCAAAAAAGAACUUACAGGAAUCACCAAUGGCGUAAGGCUUUAAGUAUCAAGGCUGCCGUUAUACUAACCAUUCUCUCUGACCCAUUACUUUUAAGGCAAGAGCUGCCUUCUUUGCAGUUCCAACGGCUGGACAGCUUCCCUGUGCUUCUCUCUGCAUUAACUAUUGUUCUUUGUGCAUAUUGCAAUUAAAAAUGCAUCCUUCUCCUCUG
Molecule: non-coding RNA, 1888 nt
Organism: Phalacrocorax carbo (great cormorant)
Lineage: Eukaryota; Metazoa; Chordata; Aves; Suliformes; Phalacrocoracidae
Source: RefSeq, a predicted model, not a curated record